UAUAUGUUUGCAUGUUCACGGGAGGUUCGAAAAGUUUUAUUUUAGCUUAUAAAUUAAGUAUAAUUUUUUAUUAUAUGAAAAUUUUUGUACGAAAAAAAAUUAAAUUUUAAAAAUUUAAUUUUCUAAAAAUUCUCAUUAAUAAAUUUUAUGGUAUCAAGUAAUUUUGGACAUAGAGAUAAUUUUUAAUAUUGACUAAAUUUGUGCCAGCAGUUGCGGUUAGACAAAUAAUAUAAUUUAAUUUUUUUGGUUUCAAUAAAUUUGUGUUAGAAAUUUUUUAAGAAUUUUUAUUAAGUGGAAUUUUAAAAAUUUUUGAGAUUUUAAUUUGUUAAUGAAUUUGGUAAAUUUUGAUAAUAAACUAGGAUUAGAUACCCUGUUAUUCAAAGCGUAUAUUAUAGACUAAAUUAGUAUUAGUUAUAUUCUUGAAAAUUAAAAAAUUUGGCGGUAUUUUAGUCUAUUCAGAGGAACUUGUCCUGUAAUUGAUAAUCCACGAUUUAAUAUACUUUUUUUUUAAAUUUAUAUAUCGUCGUAAUUUGAAAAUUUUAGAAAAAUUAUAAAUUUUCAAGAUUUAUUAUUAUAAAUAAAAUCAGAUCAAGAUGUAGUUAAUAAAAAAGUAGAGAUGAGUUACAUUUAUAUAAAUAGAAGAUAGUUAUUAGUAUAAUAAUUUGAAUUUGGAUUUGAAAGUAAUUUUAAUUAAUUAAUUAAAAUGAUUUAAGCUCUAAAAUAUGUACACAUCGCCCGUCACCUCUUUAAAAUGAAAUAAGUCGUAACAAAGUAAACUUAUUGGAAAAUGAGUUUAGAAAUAGU
RNAcentral lists this non-coding RNA (804 nucleotides) under Crioceris duodecimpunctata (spotted asparagus beetle). Lineage: Eukaryota; Metazoa; Arthropoda; Insecta; Coleoptera; Chrysomelidae. The record is from RNAcentral.